AUCUAUAGAGACACAGCAGAGGUCAGUUCCUCAUAUCUAGAGCACUAACAGCCACAGCAGAGGUCAGUUCCUCAUAUCUAGAGCACUAACAGCCACAGCAGAGGUCAGUUCCUCAUAUCUAGAGCACUAACAGCCACAGCAGAGGUCAGUUCCUCAUAUCUAGAGCACUAACAGACGCUCACAUUAGGAACAUUUAAGGAGGUUCUGGUUCUGACAGUAAUUCCUCUUUAAGCUACUUUAAUCUGCACUAGAGACGUUCUGCAGGAUGAGAACUGGAGAUAGAACAGAUAUUCAGAUAGGACCGGUUCUGGUUCUGGAUCAGUGGGGUCUGUUCAGAGUGGCGUCUGUCUCGUGCUGCUGUUGGUCUGUCAGUGAACCACUCGUCCUCCAAUCAGACAUCAGCAGCAGCACUCAGCCCCCAUCACUGGCUGAGGUCCGUACCCCUGCGCUUCUCAUCAUCACAGACCCGAUCCUCCUCCAACUACCUGCAGCCAGUGGGCCGGCCCUACUGGGAGCUGUGGUUUCACCGGGACCGGGUUUACCUUUGUGAAGCCGAGCUCCAGCAUCAGUCUGUCGGCCACGAACUCGAUGUACUGUUUCAUCAGCCCGCAGUUCAUCCCAAUCAGCUUCACCGGCAGAGCCUCCGUCAGGAACUCCUGGACACACAAACGGGGAACCAUUAAAACCAUUAAGACCAGUAAAAGCAUCAGAACCAGUAAAACCAGGAUCUGCAUCAGGUUGAGGACCGACCUGCUCGAUCUCCACGGCGUUCUUGAUGAUGUUGGUGACGGUUUCUGACGACGGCUUGUUCACCAGGUGUUUGAACAUCAGACAGGCAAAGUCACAGUGCAGACCCUGAAACCAGUAACACACACACACACACACACACCGUUACACCCUGAAACCAGUAACACACACACUCUAAAUAUUGAUCAGAUGCUCCGAUCGAUAAUCAAUCACCUCGUCUCUGCUGAUCAGCUCGUUGGAGAAGGUCAGUCCGGGCAUCAGGCCUCUCUUCUUCAGCCAGAAGAUCGCAGCGAAGGAACCAGAGAAGAAGAUUCCCUCCACGGCGGCGAAGGCCACCACGCGCUCACCUGGAGGAACCACAGAGUCACGAUCAAUACCCGAUAGAAGAUCAAUACCAAACCCCAUCGAUCGGGAACAUCACGGCGAGCAGCUUUACCGUAGUUGGCGUUCUUGUUUCCGAUCCAGUUGAUCGCCCAGUCGGCCUUCUUCUUCACACACGGCAGAGUCUCGAUGGCGUUGAACAGGUAUUCCCUGUGGGUCAGUAAAGGCAGCGUCAGAGACCAGCACAGACCAGCAGGGUCCAGUACAGACCAGCAGGGUCCAGCACAGACCUGCAGGGUCCAGCACAGACCAGAACCAGAGCGCUGUCUCACCUCUCUUUGGGCUCCCUGAUGUAGGUGUUGAUGAGGAGGCUGUACAUCUCUGAGUGGAUGUUCUCCAUGGCGAUCUGGAAACCAUAGAAACACCUGGCCUCCGUCACCUGCACUUCCUGGGAGAAGCGCUCCACCUGGUGGUCAAACGGAGAACAAAGUCGGAGAGAAACUGU
Molecule: long non-coding RNA, 1573 nt
Organism: Dicentrarchus labrax (European seabass)
Lineage: Eukaryota; Metazoa; Chordata; Actinopteri; Moronidae
Exons: 3
Source: RefSeq, a predicted model, not a curated record